Molecule: non-coding RNA, 1181 nt
Organism: Drosophila virilis
Lineage: Eukaryota; Metazoa; Arthropoda; Insecta; Diptera; Drosophilidae
Source: RefSeq, a predicted model, not a curated record
CCUACUAGAAACAGGGGCCGAAAAUGGCAAAUUUCGCCAGACAACUGCGCAAUAUUAAAAUGUGGCUGCAUCUAGUAUAAUGCCAUAAUUCGGCUACCCACCCAGACAGUUGCAAUGCUUUAUCUAUCAAACGUAAUUAAUAGAAACAUUUAGUAUAAGAUUCCCUGAAUCAUAAUCAUCGUGCAUUCUAUCUCAAAGCGCACAAAACGUGUUUUUGCUUUCCUUUUCGCUACGACAUUCGCAUGUUUGCGUGUGUGUGUGUGCAACUGCUGACUGUAUGUGUGUGUGCGUGCGUGUGCUUCGUACAAAGCGGAAAGACAAUUUGUACAAUUCGUAUGGAGCUAUAAUAUAUAAUAUGUAUAUAUAUUUUUUUUUUUGGGCUGACAGCGCCUUAAAAUGAAAUUCACACACAAGCACGCACAAUUGUUACACGCUUGCAAAACGGAAACAAAGCGCAGAAUUAUUAAAUGGCCCGAUUGAGCCGACAGUCCACACGCAUUUCAGCUGUUGACCUUGGCGCCGCCCACGCCACGCGCUGCCUUGUACUGCAACUGUUAGUCUAUACACACACACACACACACCCACACACAUACGCACGACAUAUACAGUCGAUGUAAUUUGACUUUUCUAACAGGCACGAAGCCUAAAAACUGCACAGCUAGAAAUUGGGGUUUGCAUUGCUGGCUGGAUUCGUUUUGGAAACCAACAUAUCAGAAAUCCCUCAAUAAUAUCAACUGCCUGCCCAUUAUAUUAUGUUUAAGUACUUGUAAAGUUUCGAUUUUCCACAAAUGAAAACAUUCUAAUCUUAAGGCAGAAGAGAGAUAAAUAAGGUGGCAACACUCUGGUUACAAUCAUCGGCGUGUGUUAAUUGCAAUCAAUGUUAAAUAACAUUUUAUGCUAAGGAAUUCGGGUAUAAUAUAUUUCAAAUUUUAAAUUCCUCUGUUAAUACACCAAAGGAACUAAAAGGAAGAGAGAGAGAGAGAGAGAGAGAGAGAGAGAGAGAGUGGGUAAAGAGAGACUCUUUUAAUGUGACAACUCUAAGAGAAAAUCGAAAUUUUGAUAUUCAAGCUAUGUUAAUUAACAUUCUAUGCUUAAAAAAUCUGAAUUUUAAUUUUAAAAUUCAAAAUGAGCCUGUUAACAAAUAUGUUGCUCAACAAUGUCUUGAUCCGUCUAUAUCUUUA